Long non-coding RNA from Aphis gossypii (cotton aphid), 1838 nucleotides. RefSeq lists it as uncharacterized. The record is from RefSeq and is a predicted model, not a curated record. The transcript is spliced from 3 exons. Lineage: Eukaryota; Metazoa; Arthropoda; Insecta; Hemiptera; Aphididae.
ACAUACUAUUAUAAUAUUAUACUAAUAUAAUAAACAAAAUACCACUAUAGUAAUAAUUAUUAUUUUAUGAAUCAAAUUCAAGAUAUUAAAAAAAAAAUUGAACCUUACAUUUUGAACGCAGUGAUAAGAGUAUUGGUUUUUAAUGACGUGUGUGUGUGUGUGGUGUGUGUGUGUGUGUGUGUGUGUGUGUGCGUGUUUUUAUGUCAAAAACAAUUUUUAAAGUAAAAAAAGUACUCCGAUCAUUAGAUUUUAAGGAAUAGUGUUUAUAGAAAAUUGGAUCUAUAGUUUGUACUUGGAGGGUCGAAAGUAGAAAUUUUAAAAUUAAUUUAUCAAAUAACUAGGAAAAAUUUUUGAUUACAAAAAAUUCAUAACAUUUUACACAGAAUAAGUUUUUGACUAAAUUGAAUUACUUUUUUUUACUGCAAUCAAAGAAUAUACAUUAACCAAAUCUAACCAAAUUAAGUAAAUACCGAUGAACACAGAUUCACAUCUUUAAAGAAUUAUUUUAGAAUGACAGAGCGUUUCCGCUUAGAAUCAUUUUUAAUAAUAUAAAAUAAUUUAUACCAAAGACCUACUCAAUAACUAUUAGAUACACUUAUGACUUGAAUUUUAUUGUACAACAGAUAGGUUACUUAUCCGCUUUUUGUUAUGAAAAUAAUGUAUUUCUCGAAUCGUCAUUUUUUGUUUAAGCAAAUGACUAUAUAUAUGUAUCGGACUACUUGUUUACGUAAAAAGUAGUAUUUGUACUUAAAUAAUAAUAAUAAUAUGUACAUUGGACAAGAUUAAAAUGUCGUUACAGGACUCAAGACCUUAGAUAUAUCUGUUAGUAUGCGUGUGUGUUUAUCAAUAUUAUUUAGUAUUGCAGGCGUAGGAAGAUAGGUACAUUAUAAACAAUGACAACACUAUAGGAGAUAACGGCAUGCACUGGACUUAAACCGCAAACCGUUCAGCCAUGUGUAUCGUCUAAUAAUAUUAAAAUAAUAGUACGAGUAUAAUAUUAUUGCAGUGAGUAUCUACUGCUCCGUAGUAAUGACACGUGUCCGGAGAUCCAGACCGAUACCAUAGCUACUACAUCUGACUACAAUAAUAUUAUAAUAAUAUAUUCUAUCGUCUAGUAUCAUCUGUACAUACGAAAUAAUAGUAAUACGUUAUAAUAUAAUAUAUUUUCUAUUACAUUUUGUACUUCUACCUACCUAUAAUAAACCCUACGCGCGAUCGCGUUUAACAGUGAUUUAUAACGCGUAUAAGUGUAUAACUCGUACAAGAUAAUUAUGACGAUGGAGUACGCUAGACGGAUACUAAUUAUCGUCACAGUUCCGAAGCAAACGAAAUCCUUUCGUUUUCCACGCACUUGGUCAUUUCUAUACGAAACUGUGUCCAGCAUCGACUAUGACGGUGCUGGUGGCCAUUGCUCGUAGAUAUCAUGAUAGAAGAUCAUUGCAAUUACACAACGUGCAAUGACUGCAAUAUAAAUGGAACAAUGGCGUAUAUGGGGUUCUGCUGCAAUAGAUAUAUAAUAUUAUGUCGGUCGUCGGUCGACUUGUUGUCCUAUAAAUAGAAGUCGAAACUCAAUAUUAUCAUAACGUCCGUCCGUUGGGUUUUGUUUGCGACAUCGAACCCGUAGAGCGUGUAAUGUGUGAAAUGUGAAUAUCAGCUAUUCCUACAAGACCAUAUCUAUAAUAUAGUAUUAUGGAAUCCAAGGCUGGGUAUAAUCUAUUAAAUAAUUUUCAAAAUCCAGUUGAUUAAGACUACUAUAAUUGAGUUACUUAUACAUUUUUUAUUUACUAAAAUUAUCAUUCACUUUAAAUCACACAAAGUUUUGUGACAAAAACUAUUCA